This is a long non-coding RNA of Phlebotomus papatasi, 968 nucleotides long. RefSeq lists it as uncharacterized. NCBI's taxonomy places the organism in Eukaryota, Metazoa, Arthropoda, Insecta, Diptera, Psychodidae. The record is from RefSeq and is a predicted model, not a curated record. The transcript has 3 exons.
UGUCACGCCAGUUGCAAGUCAUCAGCGUGCAGUGUCUGAGCAUGUUCAAUCGGCUCAAGUUCUGUGAAAAUUGAUUAAAAAAGUAGUUUUCAAAGUGAUUUGGUAAAGGACAUUUAUAAGGAAGACCUCCUGCUACAAUCGCCUUAAGGACAACUAAAUAGUCAAACGAUUUGGCUCAGGUUCUGCAAGGAUUUCCUGCAAAAUCCGGGAAUAUCAGUGGUGUUGGUGCAAGUCUCGUUAGAGCUCCAGACAACAGCAGUCCAUGUCCGUUAAGCGGGUGAUCCCAAUAUCCGUACAUUUACAUCGUUGACCCUUUGAUAGAUAUUCAAACCGAAGAGGUUUCGAAACUACUAGAGCUGUCACCAAAAUAUUGUUUUCAACAAGUGAUGCACUAAUUCAGAAUAUUAAAUGCAAACACAGGAAUGGCAAAAUUUUUCGAGUACACAGCCGACAAUUUCUUUAAAAAAAAAUGGAGCGUUGAAUAGAUUUAAAAAGCACCUGAAGAGCGACCGCAGCAAUAUCAAUUACAGUAAUCUGCCCUUGAGGUCGGAUUAGUGUAUUAUCAGCAAUACCCAAAUUUUAUCACAGAGGAGAGUAUACAGAAUAUGGAAAAAAUGACAACGUUAAAAGUCUUCAGAUCUACACUUUAGAUCAAGUCAACUUCAAUUCUUCAGAUGAACUCCAGAUCAAUUCUGCACAUAUGCAGAAAUCUUUGACGCCUACUUUAGAAAUUUUGAGGAAGAUUUUGAAAAUCAUUCGCUAAAAAUAAUACUUCGCCUACAUAAUUUUGACCACUUUAACAUAGACAGGAUGUUUUAUUAAUUUAAAGUCUCAUCUCUGUUACUUAAAACUCAUGUCAAACAAUUGAGAGUUUGUGACAAAAAUUCUUCAGAUUUGUAUCAGAUGUCGUUUACUGGACUACGCCUUUGAAGGAUUUUCUUCUGAAUACAAAUAUAUAUGCGAAAAAA